AGGGUUUGAUUCUGGCUCAGGACGAACGCUGGCGGUGCGCCUUAUGCAUGCAAGUCGAGCGAAGCUUUUCAGUAGUUUACUACAGAAAAUGACUGAGCGGCGAACGGGUGAGUAACGCGUGAGCAACCUACCUUAGUUACUGGGAUAGCCCGAGGAAACUCGGAUUAAUACCGGAUAUUCUUAUUUAAUCACAUGAUUUUUUAAGGAAAGGUCAGCCGAACUAAGAUGGGCUCGCGUUCUAUCAGCUAGUUGGUAGGGUAACGGCCUACCAAGGCUACGACGGAUAGCUGGUCUGAGAGGACGAUCAGCCACACUGGGACUGAGACACGGCCCAGACUCCUACGGGAGGCUGCAGCAGGGAAUAUUGUGCAAUGAACGAAAGUUUGACACAGCGACACCGCGUGUGGGAUGACGGAUCUAGGUUUGUAAACCACUUUCAGGAGGGAAGAAAAUGACGGUACCUCCACAAGAAGCCCCGGCCAACUACGUGCCAGCAGCCGCGGUAAUA
RNAcentral lists this ribosomal RNA (508 nucleotides) under uncultured bacterium. RNAcentral describes it as "bacterial SSU rRNA". It matches the Rfam family "Bacterial small subunit ribosomal RNA", at positions 8 to 525 of the family's 1533-position model. The record is from RNAcentral.